Molecule: ribosomal RNA, 705 nt
Filed under: uncultured Bacteroidales bacterium
Lineage: Bacteria; Pseudomonadati; Bacteroidota; Bacteroidia; Bacteroidales
Description: bacterial SSU rRNA
Rfam family: Bacterial small subunit ribosomal RNA
Source: RNAcentral
AAGUCGAGGGGCAGCAUGGUCUUAGCUUGCUAAGGCCGAUGGCGACCGGCGCACGGGUGAGUAACACGUAUCCAACCUGCCGUCUACUCUUGGACAGCCUUCUGAAAGGAAGAUUAAUACAAGAUGGCAUCAUGAGUCCGCAUGUUCACAUGAUUAAAGGUAUUCCGGUAGACGAUGGGGAUGCGUUCCAUUAGAUAGUAGGCGGGGUAACGGCCCACCUAGUCUUCGAUGGAUAGGGGUUCUGAGAGGAAGGUCCCCCACAUUGGAACUGAGACACGGUCCAAACUCCUACGGGAGGCAGCAGUGAGGAAUAUUGGUCAAUGGGCGAGAGCCUGAACCAGCCAAGUAGCGUGGAGGAUGACUGCCCUAUGGGUUGUAAACUUCUUUUAUAAAGGAAUAAAGUCGGGUAUGCAUACCCGUUUGCAUGUACUUUAUGAAUAAGGAUCGGCUAACUCCGUGCCAGCAGCCGCGGUAAUACGGAGGAUCCGAGCGUUAUCCGGAUUUAUUGGGUUUAAAGGGAGCGUAGAUGGAUGUUUAAGUCAGUUGUGAAAGUUUGCGGCUCAACCGUAAAAUUGCAGUUGAUACUGGAUAUCUUGAGUGCAGUUGAGGCAGGCGGAAUUCGUGGUGUAGCGGUGAAAUGCUUAGAUAUCACGAAGAACUCCGAUUGCGAAGGCAGCCUGCUAAGCUGCAACUGACAUUGAGGCU